AUUGAACGCUGGCGGCAGGCCUAACACAUGCAAGUCGAACGAGUGGCGGACGGGUGAGUAAUGCCUGGGCAACUGGCCCAUGGAGGGGGAUAACUACUGGAAACCGUAGCUAAUACCGCAUACCAUCGAAUGUGCCCAGAGGGGAUUAGCUAGUAGGUGGGGUAAAGGCUCACAGAGUCGACGUUCCCUAGCUGGUCUGAGAGGAUGACCAGCCACACUGGAACUGGGACACGGUCCAGACUCCGACGGGAGGCAGCCGUGGGAAUUCUUCCACAAUGGGCGCAAGCCUGAUGCGGCCAUGCCGCGUGUAGGUGGAGGGCCUUCGGGUUGUAAAGUACUUUCAGCGGGGAGGCGUUACCCGCAGAAGAAGCACCGGCUAACUCCGUGCCAGCAGCCGCGGUAAUAC
Molecule: ribosomal RNA, 406 nt
Filed under: uncultured bacterium
Lineage: Bacteria
Description: partial 16S ribosomal RNA
Rfam family: Bacterial small subunit ribosomal RNA
Source: RNAcentral